This 142-nucleotide unclassified non-coding RNA is filed under the name soil metagenome. Its description in RNAcentral is "partial internal transcribed spacer 1". The record is from RNAcentral.
CUGAGUCUUAUCUCAAAAACCCUUUGUGAACCUUUAUAACCUGUUGCUUCGGCGGCGCGGCCCCCGGGUCGUGCCCGCCGGUAUCAUCAGAAUCUCUGUUCGAACCCGACGAUACUCCUGAGUGUUCUAAGCGAACUGUUUA